UGAAAAUCGGAUGCAUGAACCUCAAUUUGCAAACAUCUAACCUUGUUCAGUAAAGUGGUAUGACAUAGAUGGGAAACAACGGGUCACAAGGAUAGCAUGGAAGACAACACCUCUAUGGAAAAAGGUUAUGUAAAUCCUCAAUUUAGGCGACUUGGAGAAUCGGAGCGAGCGCUGUUCAUGUUAUGUCAUACCAAACGCUUCCGCUAG
This 207-nucleotide long non-coding RNA is filed under the name Helianthus annuus (common sunflower). Its description in RNAcentral is "hypothetical non coding rna". The record is from RNAcentral. Lineage: Eukaryota; Viridiplantae; Streptophyta; Magnoliopsida; Asterales; Asteraceae.